RNAcentral lists this ribosomal RNA (253 nucleotides) under uncultured bacterium. Its description in RNAcentral is "partial 16S ribosomal RNA". It matches the Rfam family "Bacterial small subunit ribosomal RNA", at positions 524 to 776 of the family's 1533-position model. The record is from RNAcentral.
UACGAAGGGGGCUAGCGUUGCUCGGAAUCACUGGGCGUAAAGGGUGCGUAGGCGGGUCUUUAAGUCAGGGGUGAAAUCCUGGAGCUCAACUCCAGAACUGCCUUUGAUACUGAAUAUCUUGAGUUCGGGAGAGGUGAGUGGAACUGCGAGUGUAGAGGUGAAAUUCGUAGAUAUUCGCAAGAACACCAGUGGCGAAGGCGGCUCACUGGCCCGAUACUGACGCUGAGGCACGAAAGCGUGGGGAGCAAACAGG